UACGUAGGGUGCAAGCGUUGUCCGGAAUUAUUGGGCGUAAAGAGCUCGUAGGCGGUUUGUCGCGUCUGCUGUGAAAACUCAGGGCUUAACCCUGAGCCUGCAGUGGGUACGGGCAGACUAGAGUGUGGUAGGGGAGAUCGGAAUUCCUGGUGUAGCGGUGGAAUGCGCAGAUAUCAGGAGGAACACCGGUGGCGAAGGCGGGUCUCUGGGCCGUAACUGACGCUGAGGAGCGAAAGCGUGGGGAGCAAACAGG
Molecule: ribosomal RNA, 253 nt
Filed under: uncultured bacterium
Lineage: Bacteria
Description: partial 16S ribosomal RNA
Rfam family: Bacterial small subunit ribosomal RNA
Source: RNAcentral